GUCGUUACAUGGCAGCAAAGAUUCUGUGAUCUUGAAUGUGGCUCACUCAGGUUGAGGCUCGGUCACUUCUCUGUGGCUUUGCUGGGCCCUGCCAAUUUCCUUUAAUGCGGCAAUCUUGACUGCAUCAUUUCUGCUAGCGGGGAUGUCAUUUGCACUUCUCUC
Megalops cyprinoides (Indo-Pacific tarpon) is the source of this 162-nucleotide small nuclear RNA. RefSeq annotates it as U1 spliceosomal RNA. The transcript has a single exon. NCBI's taxonomy places the organism in Eukaryota, Metazoa, Chordata, Actinopteri, Elopiformes, Megalopidae. The record is from RefSeq and is a predicted model, not a curated record.